GGCAGCUGGUGGAGCGCACAAUUGGGGUCCUUAAAGGGCGGUUUCGUGUGCUCCACCGCACUGGUGGCGACAUCAUGUAUUCGCCGGAGAUGGCAAGUAAACUAGUGGUCCUGUGCGCUAUACUACACAACAUCGCGGUAAGGAGUAGCGUAGAGCUUCCUCAGACAGAGGAAUUGCCUGAUGAGGAGCCAGGGGUUGUCCGACACUUCGGUGGGGGGAGUGUUACACGGAGGGGGAGCCAAGUCAGGGCAAGCAUUGUUGCGGAAUAUUUCAGCUGAAUGAUCACACAAACUGUGGACGACCACAACGGCAAGCAACACAUGAGGCACCAUCUCAGCCCCCUUCCCCUUCUCACUCCCCCUCCACUUCCCAGUCCCCCUCCC
This is a long non-coding RNA of Pseudophryne corroboree (corroboree frog), 383 nucleotides long. RefSeq lists it as uncharacterized. The transcript has 3 exons. The record is from RefSeq and is a predicted model, not a curated record. NCBI's taxonomy places the organism in Eukaryota, Metazoa, Chordata, Amphibia, Anura, Myobatrachidae.